Molecule: ribosomal RNA, 497 nt
Filed under: uncultured bacterium
Lineage: Bacteria
Description: partial 16S ribosomal RNA
Rfam family: Bacterial small subunit ribosomal RNA
Source: RNAcentral
GAUGAACGCUGGCGGCGUGCCUAAUACAUGCAAGUCGAGCGAACAGACGAGGAGCUUGCUCCUCUGACGUUAGCGGCGGACGGGUGAGUAACACGUGGAUAACCUACCUAUAAGACUGGGAUAACUUCGGGAAACCGGAGCUAAUACUGGAUAAUAUAUUGAACCGCAUGGUUCAAUAGUGAAAGACGGUUUUGCUGUCACUUAUAGAUGGAUCCGCGCCGCAUUAGCUAGUUGGUAAGGUAACGGCUUACCAAGGCAACGAUGCGUAGCCGACCUGAGAGGGUGAUCGGCCACACUGGAACUGAGACACGGUCCAGACUCCUACGGGAGGCAGCAGUGGGGAAUCUUCCGCAAUGGGCGAAAGCCUGACGGAGCAAUGCCGCGUGAGUGAUGAAGGUCUUCGGAUCGUAAAACUCUGUUAUUAGGGAAGAACAAAUGUGUAAGUAACUAUGCACGUCUUGACGGUACCUAAUCAGAAAGCCACGGCUAACUACGUG